RNAcentral lists this ribosomal RNA (253 nucleotides) under uncultured bacterium. Its description in RNAcentral is "partial 16S ribosomal RNA". It matches the Rfam family "Bacterial small subunit ribosomal RNA", at positions 524 to 776 of the family's 1533-position model. The record is from RNAcentral.
UACGAAGGGGGCUAGCGUUGCUCGGAAUUACUGGGCGUAAAGCGCACGUAGGCGGAUUUGUAAGUCAGGGGUGAAAUCCCGGGGCUCAACCUCGGAACUGCCUUUGAUACUGCAAAUCUCGAGUCCGAUAGAGGUGGGUGGAAUUCCUAGUGUAGAGGUGAAAUUCGUAGAUAUUAGGAAGAACACCAGUGGCGAAGGCGGCUCACUGGCCCGGUACUGACGCUGAUGUGCGAAAGCGUGGGGAGCAAACAGG